AAAAAGGCCCUUGUAAGGGCCCCCAUUAGAUAACUAUAAUAUAAC
Molecule: non-coding RNA, 45 nt
Organism: Picea glauca (white spruce)
Lineage: Eukaryota; Viridiplantae; Streptophyta; Pinopsida; Pinales; Pinaceae
Source: Rfam